Molecule: long non-coding RNA, 281 nt
Organism: Grus americana (Whooping crane)
Lineage: Eukaryota; Metazoa; Chordata; Aves; Gruiformes; Gruidae
Exons: 3
Source: RefSeq, a predicted model, not a curated record
GGGCCCCAGAAGCAGCAGCAGCAGAUAGAAGAGGAUCACAAGGACAGUGGUUGGACUAUUCAGCUGAAGAAAGGAGAUCCCCUGUUGCAUACUUACGGAGUCACAGACACAAGGGGACAUUCCAAGUCCUGAAUUUCAGAGCUAUUGCACACCUAGGAACUUGCCAUGUCUUCCUUCUUCACAUCCACUGUGAUUUGCCAGAUGCAUCAGUAUGGGAGCAGCGAUGCAGAACUUGAGGACAUUUCAUUUUGAGGGAUGAGGCACAUGUUUUGAAACCAUUG